This 451-nucleotide ribosomal RNA is filed under the name uncultured bacterium. Its description in RNAcentral is "bacterial SSU rRNA". It matches the Rfam family "Bacterial small subunit ribosomal RNA", at positions 96 to 562 of the family's 1533-position model. The record is from RNAcentral.
UGGCGGACGGGUGAGUAACGCGUGAGCAACCUACCUUCUGAUGGGGGAUAACGUCUGGAAACGGACGCUAAUACCGCAUAAACCGAUGUUAUCGCAUGGUGAUAUCGGCAAAGAGAUAUCGUCAGGAGAUGGGCUCGCGUUGGAUUAGAUAGUUGGCGGGGUAACGGCCCACCAAGUCAACGAUCCAUAGCCGGACUGAGAGGUCGGACGGCCACAUUGGAACUGAGAUACGGUCCAGACUCCUACGGGAGGCAGCAGUGGGGAAUAUUGGGCAAUGGGCGAAAGCCUGACCCAGCGACGCCGCGUGAAGGAAGAAGGUCUUCGGAUUGUAAACUUCAGUAGGCAGGGACGAAGAAAGUGACGGUACCUGCAGAGUAAGCCACGGCUAACUACGUGCCAGCAGCCGCGGUAAUACGUAGGUGGCGAGCGUUAUCCGGAUUUACUGGGUGUA